CAGCGCCGCGGGAAUACGUAGGGUGCAAGCGUUAAUCGGAAUUACUGGGCGUAAAGCGUGCGCAGGCGGUUAUAUAAGACAGAUGUGAAAUCCCCGGGCUCAACCUGGGAACUGCAUUUGUGACUGUAUAGCUAGAGUACGGCAGAGGGGGAUGGAAUUCCGCGUGUAGCAGUGAAAUGCGUAGAUAUGCGGAGGAACACCGAUGGCGAAGGCAAUCCCCUGGGCCUGUACUGACGCUCAUGCACGAAAGCGUGGGGAGCAAACAGGAUUAGAUACCCGGGUAGUCCCUGUCUCUUAUACA
RNAcentral lists this ribosomal RNA (301 nucleotides) under uncultured bacterium. RNAcentral describes it as "partial 16S ribosomal RNA". It matches the Rfam family "Bacterial small subunit ribosomal RNA", at positions 509 to 808 of the family's 1533-position model. The record is from RNAcentral.